Molecule: unclassified non-coding RNA, 390 nt
Filed under: soil metagenome
Description: partial contains 5.8S ribosomal RNA, internal transcribed spacer 2, and large subunit ribosomal RNA
Rfam family: 5.8S ribosomal RNA (bases 1-122)
Source: RNAcentral
GAUGAAGAACGUAGCGAAAUGCGAUACUUGGUGUGAAUUGCAGAAUCCCGCGAAUCAUCGAGUUUUUGAACGCAAGUUGCGCCCGAAGCCAUUCGGCCGAGGGCACGUCUGCCUGGGUGUCACGCAUCGUUGCCCCCCCAAACUCCGGUUCGGGCGGGGCGGAAGUUGGCCUCCCGUGCGUGCCUGCGCGCGCGGUUAGCCCAAAAGCGAGUCCUUGGCGACGAGCGCCACGACAAUCGGUGGUUUUUUUACCCUCGUUCCUCGUCGUGCGUGCCCCGUCGCCCGAACGCGCUCUUGCGACCCUCACGCGUCGCCUCGGCGGCGCUCCCAACGCGACCCCAGGUCAGGCGGGACUACCCGCUGAGUUUAAGCAUAUCAAUAAGCGGAGGA